CUACGUAGGGGGCGAGCGUUGUCCGGAAUGAUUGGGCGUAAAGGGCACGUAGGCGGCUUUGCAAGUCAGUAGUGGAAGUCCAUUUUUCAAGGAUGGAAGUGCUACAGAAACUGCGGAGCUUGAGUGCAGGAGAGGUUAUCGGAAUUCCCGGUGUAGCGGUGAAAUGCGUAGAGAUCGGGAGGAACACCAGUGGCGAAGGCGGGUAACUGGACUGCAACUGACGCUGAGGCGCGAAAGUGUGGGGAGCAAACAGGAUUAGAUACCCUGGUAGUCCACACUGUAAACGAUGAAUGCUAGGUGUAUGAGGUAUCGACCCCUUCUGUGCCGCAGUAAACACAGUAAGCAUUCCGCCUGGGGAGUACGGUCGCAAGAUUAAAACUCAAAUGAAUUGACGGGG
Molecule: ribosomal RNA, 397 nt
Filed under: uncultured bacterium
Lineage: Bacteria
Description: partial 16S ribosomal RNA
Rfam family: Bacterial small subunit ribosomal RNA
Source: RNAcentral